This 424-nucleotide long non-coding RNA is filed under the name Androctonus crassicauda. The record is from RNAcentral. Lineage: Eukaryota; Metazoa; Arthropoda; Arachnida; Scorpiones; Buthidae.
AAAAAAUAUGGUAUUUUGGGGGUUUGGAACAGAUUAAUGGCAUUUCAAUACAUUUCAAUGAGGAAAAUUGAUUCGAGAUAGGAAUGAUUCGAGUUAUGAGCUCCGUCACAGAACGAAUUAAACGUGUAAGUCGAGUUACCACUGUACUUAAGAUUUUAAGGGGUGCUGCACUCUUUCUGAACAUUAGUGUAUAUGAUGUGAAAAUCAGAAUAUAUAAAAUAACAAAUGUUUCCAAAAUAUUAACAUACUGUAUAUAUUUGAAUAUAAGCUCACCCUCUAACUUCAGAAUUUGUAAAUCUGUAAAAAUGUGAAACCCAUGUAUAAGCCUAACCCCAGCUUUAGCACUUAAAAUUCAAUAAAAAUUUGCAACUGAUAAAUUAUGUGAUCUUUGAUUUUAGUUACCAAUAUAUUAUGUCAUUUGCCA